UCCAAAACAAUUAUAAUUUAGAUCUACUGUUCCAUGGUAACCGUGGCCGGUCACAUGAUAUACUGGAUCAUGUGACCGGCCGCGUCAGCUUCACACAACGUGCCCUCAAGCUAACCUUACUACCGUGACGUGCCCUGCUGCUGCGGAUAACCACUGCGACUCCCGAUUCCAGAAAAAGUAAACAACUGGUCAGAGAUGCCUCGUAAGGAGAGGAGGUUAAAACAAAAACAAAAGGAGCUGUGUGAGGCUGCAAAAGGCAGUGGAUCACUCACCAGCUGGAUGACAAAGAGCACAAAAGGUAAGAUCAACACAUGCACCAGUUAUUUAUAGCCAUAUUCAGUUAGAGAAAACAACAGUAACAAACAAAAUUUCAAUGUUGUUCUGUUACAUU
Molecule: long non-coding RNA, 391 nt
Organism: Cyprinodon tularosa
Lineage: Eukaryota; Metazoa; Chordata; Actinopteri; Cyprinodontiformes; Cyprinodontidae
Exons: 2
Source: RefSeq, a predicted model, not a curated record